GUUGUUUAACGGCAUGAUUGUUCUUUAGGGUUUGUGUUCUUAAGGAUUAGUGCAGUUGGUUUAGAAAUCAAAAUGGGACUGUUGUGUUCUUAACGGUUGUUAGCAUUAUUAAACGACUGUGGUCUUAGUUUAUGGGAGUCUAGGGAUUGGCUAUUCAAUAUGGGAGUCUAUGGGAUUUGUUAUUCAAAAUGGGAGUCUUAGUUUAAUCAAGAUUGUUUACUCUGGAGUUAGCUUCUCCUCUUACAUUAGUAUUAUAGACACUUUGACUCUGUGAUUCUUUUCGAGAAAAUGUUGACCUUUAUAUGUGAUCUGAG
This 314-nucleotide long non-coding RNA is filed under the name Brassica napus (rape). RNAcentral describes it as "long non-coding RNA (BNAP_LNC012058)". Lineage: Eukaryota; Viridiplantae; Streptophyta; Magnoliopsida; Brassicales; Brassicaceae. The record is from RNAcentral.